Molecule: ribosomal RNA, 253 nt
Filed under: uncultured bacterium
Lineage: Bacteria
Description: partial 16S ribosomal RNA
Rfam family: Bacterial small subunit ribosomal RNA
Source: RNAcentral
UACGUAUGGUGCAAGCGUUAUCCGGAUUUACUGGGUGUAAAGGGAGCGCAGGCGGCAUGGCAAGCCUGAUGUGAAAGCCCGCGGCCCAACCGCGGGACUGCAUUGGGAACUACCGGGCUGGAGUGCCGGAGAGGUAGGCGGAAUUCCUAGUGUAGCGGUGAAAUGCGUAGAUAUUAGGAGGAACACCAGUGGCGAAGGCGGCCUACUGGACGGUGACUGACGCUGAGGCUCGAAAGCGUGGGGAGCAAACAGG